This is a long non-coding RNA of Musa acuminata AAA Group (dessert banana), 2537 nucleotides long. RefSeq lists it as uncharacterized. The record is from RefSeq and is a predicted model, not a curated record. The transcript is spliced from 3 exons. Lineage: Eukaryota; Viridiplantae; Streptophyta; Magnoliopsida; Zingiberales; Musaceae.
UGCUGAUUGUGUGAUGAUAAUGGGUUCGUCGAAGACGUUCCUUGUCUCCUGUGGUAUUGAUGCUUGUCAUUGUAACCUUGAUUGACAUCGGGGAGGAGGGGUUUAGGGAACCGUGGGAUUUCAUCGAUUCAUGGCUUACGACGAGCAUUCGCAUGACGUCUGCUCUGUCUUUUGAGAUCGGCUGACAUGUAUGUUGCAAUUGCUAAAGCAGAUCCGUAUUAGCUCUGUUUCUGGCACAAUGCAGCUGUUCUCUUCCCUUUCAGUUGCUUUUUGUUCCCCUUCUAUUGUCUAUGACCACGGCGCGAUACUAAUCCGAUGCGCCUCCUCAGAUUCCGGCAUGGAAUCUUGUUCGAUCUGCUCCCGCAUUCUUCUGGCAGUCGGAAGAUGCCGCGUUACCAUCUGAGGAAGGUGAGAAAAACUAUCGAUCUUGCAAAUGCGUUAUACGUUCUCUCACCUUCAAAGUUCAUUGGAAUUUUUGGCUUUGAUUCCUUCUCCAAGUCGAUGCAAUUGCGUAAAUUCCCUCUUGCUGGCAGAGAGAGCUAGUGUGAGUAGAUCAAGGGAGCAUGAUUCUGAAGGAGUUUCCUUAUUUUUGGAUUGCCUAUCAGCAAGAGAACUGUUGCCAUCUUCUACUGUCUCCGUUUCUUCUGUUGUUUGAGACUGACUUGAUUAUUCAAACUUUUCGGUUGAUCGAAGCAUAGAGAAUUAACCUGGUCGCUCAAGAUUGUCUCUCGAUGGAGGCAGCAAAGUCAGUACUUUUGACUCUAAAAUGUCAAUUUGACCCUCUUAAUGUCAUCACAAAUCAAGCUAUACCAUGGGGCAAGAUUAGAUUUACUAAUAAGCUAGUCCAAGGGCAUCUAGCUGUGGAAGAAAAGAAAGAGAAAACAUGUUGCUGGACUAGUACCCAAGGUUGUUCAAAACUAUUUUGUGAGAGUAGUAUAAUUUCUAUCUGUUCUGCGGGCUUCUUGAUAAGCCUUAAGUUAUUUAAUUCGUUGUGGUGCCAAUAUUAAACAAGUUGUAGAGCUGCUUCAUGUUCAUGUUAUCUAAUUCUUGGGCUGAUAUUAUCUUCUGAAGUUGCAUGAAGAUUAUGAUAGAGCUGGCCAGGAUACCGAUGAAUGGAAAGCCAGGGAGAUUGUGAAGGACAUAGCAAGCCAGGGAGUUAUUAUUUCAAGAGUUCACUGUCUCUUUUUUGCAUGAACUUUCAAUGAUUCUCCUAGCAAUUUUUUCUAGUGCUUUUUUGAUGUGAUUUGAAUUGUUAUCAAUAUGUAGCUUUAGGGUUACCCAAUUCCAUUUCUUUUUCUCAGGUUAGAAGAACAUGAGAUGCUUGUAAUAGGCUUGGAGGAAGGCCUAUGAAAUAUUAAUAUCAUACUUGUCUGUGUCACAACAUUCUGACUUUUUUUUGCUAAAUUAAACUGAAGUAUUAUUUUAGUUGUCGGGCACCUGAUGACCUGAGUUUCUCCCUUGUUGGACUUUGAAGCUUUUGCAAAACGUUAAAUAAUUAAUAGUGUUUGAUUUACAAGGUCAUGGAUUUUAUUUAUCUUCCUAUGUUUUGUAUAAUUAUUUGAUUGGGGAACACUGGAGUAUUCUCCUUUGAUUAGGAAGUCAAGAGGUUGCAGACGUUAAGCAAUGUCUUCAUCUUAUUGCCAUCUCCUGAAGAUGACGAAUUUCAAUAUUUUGUUAUUAUUGUUCUUUUGCUGUUUGAUUUUGUCAGAACUUGGAAGGACAAGAUUGGCUUGCAUUGAUUGCCAGCCCAUUUUGUGUUUGUUAUGGCACUGACUGGUUUUAUGCUUUUACUAGUAUGACUUCGGUGGUGUUUCUAAUCUCAUCAUCUCAUGUGGGUGAAUUGAGUAAAAGACCUUGCAGCAUGUUUAUUGUUUUGGAAGUUUUGAAUUCCAGUUUCUUCCUGUGGCUACCUCUGGAUGCAGCCGGGUGACUGAGACACUGGGUGCAGCCAUCACCGCCUGGAGAUGUAGUCUGGGCAUCAGACCUCAUCCAACCCAAGUGAGUGGCUCUUACAGGUCUCCCAAAGCCUUCGGUCGAGAUUUCCUGACCCAUUGAAGGUGUGGCAUUAAACAUAAGUAUCUGUUGCACUAUGCAUCAGCAGCUCUCUUAUGAAGAGCAGGGCAAAAUGGAUGAUUUCACAGUGCCAUCGCUCAUGAGGGCAGGGAUGGCCAUGGAGUCUCAAGAAAACGUGAAUCGUCGUCCUCAUCAUCAUCAACAUCCUUCAGACGGAACAGAAUUGGCAAUAUCAUCUUUUGAGGGUAUGUGCAUAUGUAUACAACCAUUGCCAAUGCGUUGGACUUGAGAUCAGACAAAAAAAUAGGAUUCAUGCGUCAGAACCCUAAUCACUGUGGCCUCUUUUCUUCAAUGCGUAACCAAAAGGGACUUCAAGCCUCAUUUCAUACUUUUCCCAUUUGGGACCUUUAGACUGUAUCUUGUAUCAGUGAGACCCAAUAGGACCCCUGUGGUUUUCUGUCAAGUUGUACUCUUGACACUUGUUUAAGAAUAUGACACAAGAGCCUAUGGCACUGUGGCCUUCA